GAUGAACGCUGGCGGCGUGCCUAAUACAUGCAAGUCGAGCGAACGGACGAGAAGCUUGCUUCUCUGAUGUUAGCGGCGGACGGGUGAGUAACACGUGGAUAACCUACCUAUAAGACUGGGAUAACUUCGGGAAACCGGAACUAAUACCGGAUAAUAUUUUGAACCGCAUGGUUCAAAAGUGAAAGACGGUCUUGCUGUCACUUAUAGAUGGAUCCGCGCUGCAUUAGCUAGUUGGUAAGGUAACGGCUUACCAAGGCAACGAUGCAUAGCCAACCUGAGAGGGUGAUCGGCCACACUGGAACUGAGACACGGUCCAGACUCCUACGGGAGGCAGCAGUAGGGAAUCUUCCGCAAUGGGCGAAAGCCUGACGGAGCAACGCCGCGUGAGUGAUGAAGGUCUUCGGAUCGUAAAACUCUGUUAUUAGGGAAGAACAUAUGUGUAAGUAACUGUGCACAUCUUGACGGUACCUAAUCAGAAAGCCACGGCUAACUACGUG
Molecule: ribosomal RNA, 497 nt
Filed under: uncultured bacterium
Lineage: Bacteria
Description: partial 16S ribosomal RNA
Rfam family: Bacterial small subunit ribosomal RNA
Source: RNAcentral